Molecule: long non-coding RNA, 510 nt
Filed under: Heterocephalus glaber (naked mole-rat)
Lineage: Eukaryota; Metazoa; Chordata; Mammalia; Rodentia; Bathyergidae
Description: lncRNA (ENSHGLG00100047193.1)
Source: RNAcentral
GAACAAGUGACUCUCUUAAGGACUCACAGCUAGUGGGAGAGGUGCUGGGAUUUGAACUCAGACAGCCUGACCCUAACACCAGGGUUAACUGCAUCAUUUCUCAUCUCAGCCAUAAGUGUCCCUCCGCCGUGCUAUCCUGCCUUGGAGCCAGCUGACAAUGGACUGAAACCUCUACAAACUAUGGGGUCUUGCUAUGUCACCCAGGAUGGUCUCAAAUUCCUCGGUUCAAGUGAUCUUCCUGCCCAAGUCUCCGAGUAGCUGGAAUGACAGUCAUAUAAAGAUACAAGAAGAAGAUGGCUGUCUGCAAAUCAGGAAGACUGACCUCACCAGACAUUGGAUCUGCUGGUUGUACCUGGAUCUUGAACUUCCCAACCUUCAUAUGUGAUCAUGUGAGGAUCUGAAUGCUGAAACUGCCGUCACAAUGAAGGAAGAACCUGGAGCUGCUAAGUGGUCACUGUGAGGAGCUUGAAGAUGGAGCUACCUAGAUUUUAACUUGGAUCCUGAAACCAG